This 1514-nucleotide ribosomal RNA is filed under the name Bacteroidota bacterium. RNAcentral's name for it is "bacterial SSU rRNA". It matches the Rfam family "Bacterial small subunit ribosomal RNA". The record is from RNAcentral. Lineage: Bacteria; Pseudomonadati; Bacteroidota.
ACAACGAAGAGUUUGAUCCUGGCUCAGGAUGAACGCUAGCGAUAGGCCUAACACAUGCAAGUCGAGGGGCAGCACUUCGGGUGGCGACCGGCGCACGGGUGAGUAACGCGUAUGCAACCUACCUGUUACAGGGGAAUAACCCGGAGAAAUCCGGACUAAUACCGCAUAAUACUGAGAUGCCGCAUGACAACUCAGUUAAAGAUUUAUUGGUAACAGAUGGGCAUGCGUGACAUUAGCUGGUUGGUGAGGUAACGGCUCACCAAGGCAACGAUGUCUAGGGGUUCUGAGAGGAAGGUCCCCCACACUGGUACUGAGACACGGACCAGACUCCUACGGGAGGCAGCAGUGAGGAAUAUUGGUCAAUGGGCGAGAGCCUGAACCAGCCAAAUCGCGUGCAGGAUGACUGCCUUAUGGGUUGUAAACUGCUUUUGUAAAGGAAUAACAACUCUUACGAGUAAGAGGAUGAAUGUACUUUAAGAAUAAGGAUCGGCUAACUCCGUGCCAGCAGCCGCGGUAAUACGGAGGAUCCAAGCGUUAUCCGGAUUUAUUGGGUUUAAAGGGUGCGUAGGCGGUUAUUUAAGUCAGUGGUGAAAGUUUGCAGCUCAACUGUAAAAUUGCCAUUGAAACUGGGUUACUUGAGUAUGGUAGAGGUAAGCGGAAUGCGUUGUGUAGCGGUGAAAUGCUUAGAUAUAACGCAGAACCCCAAUUGCGAAGGCAGCUUGCUGGACCAUUACUGACGCUGAGGCACGAAAGCGUGGGGAUCAAACAGGAUUAGAUACCCUGGUAGUCCACGCCGUAAACUAUGAAUGCUAGCUAUUGGCGAUAUACAGUCAGUGGCACAGAGAAAUCGUUAAGCAUUCCACCUGGGGAGUACGCCGGCAACGGUGAAACUCAAAGGAAUUGACGGGGGCCCGCACAAGCGGAGGAACAUGUGGUUUAAUUCGAUGAUACGCGAGGAACCUUACCCGGGUUUGAACGUAGGGGGAAUAUAGUGGAAACAUUAUAGCCAGCAAUGGUCGCCUACGAGGUGCUGCAUGGUUGUCGUCAGCUCGUGCCGUGAGGUGUCGGCUUAAGUGCCAUAACGAGCGCAACCCCUAUCAUUAGUUACUAACAGGUUAAGCUGAGGACUCUAAUGAGACUGCCGGCGUAAGCCGCGAGGAAGGUGGGGAUGACGUCAAAUCAGCACGGCCCUUACAUCCGGGGCGACACACGUGUUACAAUGGUGGGUACAGAAGGCCGCUACCUGGUGACAGGAUGCCAAUCUCCAAAACCCAUCUCAGUUCGGAUCGAAGUCUGCAACCCGACUUCGUGAAGCUGGAUUCGCUAGUAAUCGCGCAUCAGCCAUGGCGCGGUGAAUACGUUCCCGGGCCUUGUACACACCGCCCGUCAAACAAUGGAAGUUGGGGGUACCUAAAGUACGUAACCGUAAGGAGCGUCCUAGGGUAAAACCGAUAACUGGUGUUAAGUCGUAACAAGGUAGCCGUACCGGAAGGUGCGGCUGGAACACCUCCUUU